RNAcentral lists this non-coding RNA (1323 nucleotides) under Henningsomyces sp. C58569. RNAcentral's name for it is "LSU rRNA". It matches the Rfam family "Eukaryotic large subunit ribosomal RNA", at positions 22 to 1433 of the family's 3401-position model. Lineage: Eukaryota; Fungi; Basidiomycota; Agaricomycetes; Agaricales; Schizophyllaceae. The record is from RNAcentral.
UACCCGCUGAACUUAAGCAUAUCAAUAAGCGGAGGAAAAGAAACUAACAAGGAUUCCCCUAGUAACUGCGAGUGAAGCGGGAAAAGCUCAAAUUUAAAAUCUGGCAGUCUUUGAUUGUCCGAGUUGUAAUUUAGAGAAGUGUUACCCGUGCUGGACCAUGUAUAAGUCUUCUGGAAUGGAGCGUCAUAGAGGGUGAGAAUCCCGUCUUUGACAUGGACUACCAGUACAUUGUGGUAUGCUCUCAACGAGUCGAGUUGUUUGGGAAUGCAGCUCAAAAUGGGUGGUAAAUUCCAUCUAAAGCUAAAUAUAGACGAGAGACCGAUAGCGAACAAGUACCGUGAGGGAAAGAUGAAAAGAACUUUGGAAAGAGAGUUAAACAGUACGUGAAAUUGCUGAAAGGGAAACGCUUGAAGUUAGUCGCAUUGGCUAGAGAUCAACCUGGCUUGCUUGGUGUACUCUCUAGUGAAUGGGUCAACAUCAGUUUUGACUAUUGGAUAAGAAUUAGAGGAAUGUGGCUCCUUUAGGAGUGUUAUAGCCUUUAGUUGUAUACAGUAGUUGGGACUGAGGCUCUCAGCACGCCUUAUGGCUGGGUUUCGACCACAUACGUGCUUAGGAUGUUGGCAUAAUAGCUUUAAGCGACCCGUCUUGAAACACGGACCAAGGAGUCUAACAUGCAUGCGAGUAUUUGGGUGGUAAACCCAAGUGCGUAAUGAAAGUGAAAAUUGAGAUCUCUGUCAUGGAGAGCAUCGAUGCCCAGACCAGAACUUUUGGGACGGAUCUGCGGUUGAGCAUGUACGUUGGGACCCGAAAGAUGGUGAACUAUGCCUGAAUAGGGUGAAGCCAGAGGAAACUCUGGUGGAGGCUCGUAGCGAUUCUGACGUGCAAAUCGAUCGUCGAAUUUGGGUAUAGGGGCGAAAGACUAAUCGAACCAUUUACUAUGGUGGUUAAGAGGCAAACUGAAAGUGUUUGUCUAGUAACUAGUUGAGGGUUUGCAACAUUGUCAAAUUGCAGGGACGUCCUUAGAGCCUUUACUACCGCUACUACAUGGAAACAUAGUAGUAUGCACCAGGUUAAUGACCUUGGGUAUGGUGAAAAUGUAAAGGAUUGGAUAAUCUGCAGCCAAGUCCUAAGGGCUUUUCAAAGCCUAUGGAUGCAGUUCACAGACUAAAUGGCAAUGGGUUUCUUGAAUGAAGCUUAAGAUAUAGUCGGUCCCGUUACGAAAGUAAGCUAACAGAUGAAGACUUGUCAUUCCUCGACUACCAAAUGACAAGUCUGGAACUGUUGGAAAGCAUUAUAUGCCUUGGGAGUCAAUGCUAGUAGCUG